This 1090-nucleotide ribosomal RNA is filed under the name Triticum dicoccoides. RNAcentral describes it as "rRNA SSU_rRNA_eukarya". It matches the Rfam family "Eukaryotic small subunit ribosomal RNA", at positions 65 to 1116 of the family's 1831-position model. Lineage: Eukaryota; Viridiplantae; Streptophyta; Magnoliopsida; Poales; Poaceae. The record is from RNAcentral.
GAUCAAUUGCCAACACUUACCACUUAGUUUUGUUUGCAACUCCUCUUUCCCAAUGAGAAAACAGAGCACCUACCAUUUUACCAUUACCAGCUUUUAUCAUGCUUUUUAUUUUAACACGUUAACCACAUUUAUAAUUCUAGAGCUAAUACGUGCAACAAACCCCGACUUCUGGGAGGGGCGCAUUUAUUAGAUAAAAGGCUGACACGGGCUCUGCUCGCUGAUCCGAUGAUUCAUGAUAACUCGACGGAUCGCACGGCCUUCGUGCCGGCGAUGCGUCAUUCAAAUUUCUGCCCUAUCAACUUUCGAUGGUAGGAUAGGGGCCUACCAUGGUGGUGACGGGUGACGGAGAAUUAGGGUUCAAUUUCGGAGAGGGAGCCUGAGAAACGGCUACCACAUCCAAGAAAGGCAGCAGGCACGCAAAUUACCCAAUCCUGACACGGGAAGGUAGUGACAAUAAAUAAUAAUACCGGACGCAUUAGUGUCUGGUAAUUGGAAUGAGUACAAUCUAAAUCCCUUAACGAGGAUCCAUUGGAUGGCAAGUCUGGUGCCAGCAGCCGUGGUAAUUCCAGCUCCAAUAGCGUAUAUUUAAGUUGUUGAAGUUAAAAAGCUCGUAGUUGGACCAUGGGCCAGGUCGGCCGGUCCGCCUCACGGCAAGCACCGACCUACUCGACCCUUCGGCCGGCAUCACGCUCCUAGCCUUAAUUGGUCGGGUCAUGUUUCCGGCAUCAUUACUUUGAAGAAAUUAGAGUGAUCAAAGCAAGCCAUCGCUCUGGAUACAUCAGCAUGGGAUAACAUCAUAGGAUUCCAGUCCUAUUGUGUUGGCCUUCGAGAUAGGAGUAAUGAUUAAUAGGGACAGUCGGGGCAUUCGUAUUUCAUAGUCAGAGGUGAAAUUCUUGGAUUUAUGAAAGGCGAACAACUGCGAAAGCAUUUGCCAAGGAUGUUUUCGUUAAUCAAGAACAACAGUUGUGGGCUCGAAGACGAUCAGAUACCGUCCUAGUCUCAAGCAUAAACGAUGGCGACCAGGGAUCGGCGGAUGUAGCUUAUAGGACUCCGCCGACACCUUAUGAGAAAUCAAAGUUUUUGGGCUCCG